This 442-nucleotide long non-coding RNA is filed under the name Setaria italica (foxtail millet). RNAcentral describes it as "long non-coding RNA (SITA_LNC007081)". Lineage: Eukaryota; Viridiplantae; Streptophyta; Magnoliopsida; Poales; Poaceae. The record is from RNAcentral.
UCGGCCCUGCUCGGCUCCUCUGCUCCCCGUAUCAUCUCCCGUGCCUCGAGAAGGAGAGCAGGAGUGCGCGCGAGAGGGAGAGGGGACUCGGAGGAGGAUCCCGGCGGCAGCAAGCAUGGGGAUCGUGGAGGAGGCGCACAACCUGCGGGUGGUGGGCGAGGGGAAGCGGGGCGUCAUCGUGCUGGCGCACGGCUUCGGCACGGACCAGUCCGUGUGGAAGCACCUGGUGCCGCACCUCGUCGCCGACUACCGCGUCGUGCUCUUCGAUACCAUGGGCGCGGGGCCCACCAACCCGGACUACUUCGACUUCGGCCGCUACGCCACGCUCGAGGGCUACGCGCUCGACCUCCUCGCCAUCCUCCAGGAGCUCGGCGUCCAGUCCUGCAUCUACGUCGGCCACUCCGUCUCCGCCGUCAUCGGCUUGCUCGCGUCCAUCUCCAGG